GGAAUUGUAGCUCAGUGGUAGAGAACUUGCCUCAUGGGCAUGAGGCACUGGGUUCAAUCCUCAGCACCA
Molecule: transfer RNA, 69 nt
Filed under: Ictidomys tridecemlineatus (thirteen-lined ground squirrel)
Lineage: Eukaryota; Metazoa; Chordata; Mammalia; Rodentia; Sciuridae
Description: Spermophilus tridecemlineatus (thirteen-lined ground squirrel) tRNA
Rfam family: tRNA
About the family: Transfer RNA (tRNA) molecules are approximately 80 nucleotides in length. Their secondary structure includes four short double-helical elements and three loops (D, anti-codon, and T loops). Further hydrogen bonds mediate the characteristic L-shaped molecular structure. tRNAs have two regions of fundamental functional importance: the anti-codon, which is responsible for specific mRNA codon recognition, and the 3' end, to which the tRNAs corresponding amino acid is attached (by aminoacyl-tRNA synthetases). tRNAs cope with the degeneracy of the genetic code in two manners: having more than one tRNA (with a specific anti-codon) for a particular amino acid; and 'wobble' base-pairing, i.e. permitting non-standard base-pairing at the 3rd anti-codon position.
Source: Rfam by way of RNAcentral